This 1539-nucleotide long non-coding RNA is filed under the name Fukomys damarensis (Damara mole-rat). Its description in RNAcentral is "lncRNA (ENSFDAG00000032655.1)". The record is from RNAcentral. Lineage: Eukaryota; Metazoa; Chordata; Mammalia; Rodentia; Bathyergidae.
CUCCCACCCUCUCACCCGGGCUCCUGCUGAUGGGAGAUGGGAGUGGGUGGAGGUCGGCCGGGCCGUGACCAGGGCCCCAGCACAUUCCUGGGAUAUCAGGACUGUUGUCGCCUUGGCACCGGAUUUCCUGCUGCAGACCGGAGCUCUAGACUCACAGGAAGAGUGUGACUUUCCUUAUUGUCCCAGACCUCAGUGCUUGGCUUCCCAAGGUGGUGCGUUGGAGAGGCCAGCGGACACGUCUGUAGGACUGACCCCUUUGUCCCAACGCUGCUGCGCAGGGCUGGCCAGGUCCCCCAGGCUCAGUCCAGGACCCUCUCCGGAGGCCCUUGGUCUCCCUGAGGGCGCAGGGAAUCGGGCCCCGCCCCCUCGCUCUUUCUGUAUUUGGCUUCUUGUGCAUUCUGUGGCUUCUGCUUGGUUUCAUUCCUCGCUGCCUGACAGAGAGAGUGGGUUUGUGCAGUUAAGGGGGCACCUCGGGGAGGAGGGGCUCUGUGUGCUUUCUCCUCUAGCAAGCUGCAUCCAAAAAAUAACUCCUUCCACAGCGGGGACAAAAAUAGCCCAGGUGCAGGGCUCAGAUGGGGGUGGGAGGCCGUGCAUGGAGCCGCACAGCUUUUUCCCUGCAACAUACGCCCACCUGGUCCCUUGGCCCGCAGGGACCACGGCCCGCUUGCACAUUUCCCGACCCCACCAUCCGGCCAGCUAGCAGAGUCUCUGCCACUGAUUCACUGCACUUUCGAGCCAAUUCAAACUCCCAAAUGCCUACAAGAGUUACUAUCGCCUGUCAGACGCUGUGUCAGGCUCUGCGACUAGCAAGUGAAGGAGACAGGCCUGGUGUCUACCUGUGUGCGAGUCCUGCAAGUCACUUCUGGGAUCAGGUGAGGAGCUCAUCGCAGAGGUCCCAGGGUUUCCUGACACCAGCCCGCCGUGAACUUGGUCCUGUGCUGUCCGCUGCAGUUGGAAGCUGGACUGCCCGGCCCAGUGUGUGCCUGGCAGAUGAUCUGCCCUGGAGCAGGGAACAGCACUGUGCACAGGGAAGGCGGGCCCUUCAAAACCCCAACAGACUGCACCCCAUCCUGACCUACAGAGCAACCUCGGCCCCCUGCCUGCUGCAGCCAACAACGACCCAGGCAGGAAGUGGGGCCGGGGACCGCGAGUCCUCUCGCUCUCCUCUCGGCACACGUGUCUUCCUGCUCAUCUCUCAGUGGGUGCCUUUCUGGGUGCCCUUCUGGGUGCCCAGUUUACCAAGUGGGUGCCCAGAGAGAUUUGGGGUUCGGUUAAGCAACAAGUAACACUUUUAGAACAAAUGUAUUCCAUGCAGUAUGUGAGACACGUCUACGCUAAAAAUUACCCUUUGUUUCUCCGAAGUUCAAGUGUAAUAGGCGUCUUGUGCUCGACCUGCUUGUCGAAAGGGCAUUGUGAAGCCAGGUGCAGUUCGCUUUCCUGCCCCACUCACGUUGAUUGAGCCUGGCUGUCACUGCUAUUAGAGUCAGACUAAGGAUGCUGCAUAUUCAAUAUAACACCAAUUAGUAAAUACUGUCAUUA